RNAcentral lists this ribosomal RNA (1740 nucleotides) under Triticum aestivum (bread wheat). RNAcentral's name for it is "partial small subunit ribosomal RNA". The record is from RNAcentral. Lineage: Eukaryota; Viridiplantae; Streptophyta; Magnoliopsida; Poales; Poaceae.
AUGGCGGUCAUGGGGUCCGGCACCUGGCGCAAGGCCUACGGCGCCCUCAAGGACUCCACCAAGGUUGGCCUCGCCAACUUCAACAGCGAGUACAAGGAUUUGGAUAUCGCCAUCGUGAAGGCGACGAACCACGUGGAGUGCCCGCCCAAGGAGCGGCAUUUCAGGAGGAUAAUGUUUGCGAACUCGGCAAAUCGCCCGCGGGCCGACGUCGCCUACUCCAUAUGUACAUUGGCCAGGAGAUUGUCCAAGACCAAGAACUGGAUAGUUGCGCUUAAAACACUGAUAGUGAUACAUAGGUUACUGAGAGAAGGCGACGGGUCAUUCAAAGAUGACUUCCUGAGCUAUUCGUACAGAGGAAACAUUUUGCAGCUUCCAAAUUUCAGGGAUGACUCGAGCCCAUUAGCAUGGGAUUCCUCUGCUUGGGUUCGCCUGUAUGCAUUCUACCUACAUGAACGCGUCGAAUGCUUUAGGGUUCUAAAAUACGACGUCGAAGCCGAUCGUCUGGUGAAAUUACCCCAGGCUUCUGGCAAGGCACACAGUAGAACAAGAACCCUUCCAUGUGAAGAUCUUUUAGAUCAGUUGCCUGCAUUGCAGAAGCUACUACUCCGGCUUAUUUCUUGCCAGCCUGAAGGUACAGCCUGCACAAAUCACCUUAUACAAUAUGCAUUAGCCCUUGUUCUGAAGGAGAGCUUCAAAAUAUACUGUUCGAUAAAUGACGGCAUCAUCAAUCUUGUUGAUAUGUAUUUUGAUAUGGCAAAAAUGGAUGCUAUCAAGGCCCUUGAAAUUUAUAAAAGAGCUGGCCAGCAGGCAGAAAAGCUUUCUGCGUAUUAUGACUACUGCAAAAAUCUUGAGCUUGCCAAGACAUUCCAGUUUCCUACUUUGAGGCAGCCACCUUCUUCAUUCCUUGCAACUAUGGAAGAGUACAUCAGAGAAGCACCCAGUGUCAGCAUCACGAGAAAGAGUGUGAGUUCACCUAGUGACCACGAAGAUGAAGCUCCACAGGAAACCGAGAAACCGGUUGAAGAGGAGAAAGAAGAGCCAGCAGAAGCUGCACCUGAAGAAGAGCCACCAUAUACCACUCUCUCGGAAGAAGAUGAACCCCCACCAUUGCGGCCAACCACUGGGGAUCUACUAGUAAUUCCGAACUUGGAUGAAGAAUUGCACCCCAUGAUUGCAAACCUUGAACAAAGCAACGCACUUGCUCUUGCCAUCGUGGAACCAGGGAGUGAGAACAAUGCCUCGGCCCCUCUAGACUUGUUUGCCAUUGACAAAGCUGGGUGGGAAUUGGCACUGGUCACUGCCCAGAGUAACCACACAAGCCAACCAGCUGUCAGCCAAGUGCAAGCCGGAGGGUUCGACAAGCUGCUGCUAGACAGCCUAUACGAAGACGACGCGAGGAGGCAGCAAAUCGCCAGUGUGACCUACACCAGCGGCGUCACGGUGAACCCAUUUGACCCCAAUGACCCGUUCGCCAUGUCCAACAGCUUCGCGCCGCCAUCAAACGUGCAGUUCGCCAUGAUGGGCCAGCAGCAGCAGCAGUACUACCAGGCACAGCAGCAUGGCUACUUCCAGAUGCAGCAGCAACAACAAGAUCAAAUGCUGGUGAUGCCGCCACAGACAUACCAGCAGCAGCAGCAGGCUCAGUACGCCGUGAAUGCCGGAUUAUCCAACCCGUUCGGCGAUCCAUUCAGUGCUCUCGUCACGACGGCGAAUCCGCCAAAGCAAAACAAUCAGAUUUAG